This 459-nucleotide ribosomal RNA is filed under the name uncultured bacterium. RNAcentral describes it as "partial 16S ribosomal RNA". It matches the Rfam family "Bacterial small subunit ribosomal RNA", at positions 338 to 795 of the family's 1533-position model. The record is from RNAcentral.
CCUACGUGAGGCAGCAGUGAGGAAUAUUGGUCAAUGGCCGAAAGGCUGAACCAGCCAAGUCGCGUGAGGGAAGACGGCUCUAUGGGUUGUAAACUUCUUUUAUAGGGGAGUAAAGCUAGCCACGUGUGGCUAUUUGCGUGUACCCUAUGAAUAAGCAUCGGCUAACUCCGUGCCAGCAGCCGCGGUAAUACGGAGGAUGCGAGCGUUAUCCGGAUUUAUUGGGUUUAAAGGGUGCGAAGGUGGUGUUUAAAGUCAGCGGUCAAAUUGUGUGGCCAAACCACGUACUGCCGUUGAAACUGGAACACUUGAGUGUGCGUGAGGUAGGCGGAAUGCGUGGUGUAGCGGUGAAAUGCAUAGAUAUCACGCAGAACUCCGAUUGCGAAGGCAGCAUACCGGGCCAUAACUGACGCUGAUGCACGAAAGCGUGGGGAUCGAACAGGAUUAGAUACCCCUGUAGUC